This 293-nucleotide long non-coding RNA is filed under the name Nicotiana benthamiana. Its description in RNAcentral is "long non-coding RNA (NBEN_LNC034883)". Lineage: Eukaryota; Viridiplantae; Streptophyta; Magnoliopsida; Solanales; Solanaceae. The record is from RNAcentral.
AUACCCAAAAGGGUAACCUUAGUUAAUGAUGGGCUAACUAAGGUUACAUACAUGUAACCAUGGUUACAUGCUUAUGACUUUUGAGUUUCAUAACUCAUACGUUAUAAGAGGGGGUUAUGGUUCCCAUAAGAAUGCAAGACAUUCUGUUCUUCUUCCCAUUGAAACUAGAGCAUUUUGGUCUUGCAUAUCAAGUGGAAAACCAAUUCUCAAUUUUUGGUCUUGGAUAUAUUCUUGUGAAAGCAAAAACUUCAAGACAAUCUUAAAGGAAGGAUCAAGGAGCUUCUCAAAGGCNN